This 723-nucleotide ribosomal RNA is filed under the name uncultured bacterium. RNAcentral describes it as "bacterial SSU rRNA". It matches the Rfam family "Bacterial small subunit ribosomal RNA", at positions 129 to 865 of the family's 1533-position model. The record is from RNAcentral.
CCCCAAAGUGUGGGAUAACAACUCGAAAGGGUUGCUAAUACCGCAUGUGAUCGCUCGGAUUAGAUGCCUUGCGAUUAAAAGGUGCAAAUCGCUUUGGGAGGGACCUGCGUCCCAUCAGCUAGUUGGUAGGGUAAUAGCCUACCAAGGCAAUGACGGGUAGGGGACCUGAGAGGGUGACCCCCCACACUGGCACUGAAACACGGGCCAGACACCUACGGGUGGCAGCAGUAGGGAAUCUUGGACAAUAGGCGAAAGCCUGAUCCAGCAACGCCGCGUGCACGAGGAAGGCCUUCGGGUUGUAAAGUGCUUUUAGAAGGGAUGAGUAAGGACAGUACCUUCUGAAUAAGCCUCGGCGAACUACGUGCCAGCAGCCGCGGUAAGACGUAGGAGGCUAGCGUUAUCCGGAUUUAUUGGGCGUAAAGCGCGUGUAGGCGGUUUGGUAAGUUGGAUGUGAAAUCUCCCGGCUCAACUGGGUGAGGUCGUUCAAAACUGCCAGACUAGAGGAUGGUAGAGGAAGGUGGAAUUCCGGGUGUAGUGGUGAAAUGCGUAGAUAUCCGGAGGAACACCAGUGGCGAAGGCGGCCUUCUGGACCAUAUCUGACGCUCAGACGCGAAAGCUAGGGGAGCGAACGGGAUUAGAGACCCCGGUAGUCCUAGCUGUAAACGAUGUAGACUUGGCGUCGGUGGAGUUAAAUCUACCGGUGCCGCAGCUAACGCGGUAAGU